CGGUUUUGUAUAUCCCAAAAAUAUCGAAUUGAAUUCGAUUCAAAAUAAUAAAAUAUUGGAUUGGUACCAAUUUUCUUAGAUCUGAAAUAUCUAAUAUUCCGAAAUAUCUGAUCUGAAUCCAACCCGAUCUUAUACCCAACAUUAGAUCUUCCAUCAGUUACAGAAAAAAAAAACACUAUUGAUCUUUUAUCAGUUACAUUAAUCUCCGACCUUUUUCAAAAUCAGUAUAAUGAUGUACAGCCCGGAUAAGCUCUUUCUUUCUUAUUCUCCUCAUUCA
This 277-nucleotide long non-coding RNA is filed under the name Brassica napus (rape). RNAcentral describes it as "long non-coding RNA (BNAP_LNC019143)". The record is from RNAcentral. Lineage: Eukaryota; Viridiplantae; Streptophyta; Magnoliopsida; Brassicales; Brassicaceae.